CUCCAGCUUCUCUCACUGCAGCCAGAAACAGUCUCCUUGACCAGAACAUAAAACAUCUGCCAGCAUCCCAAUCCAGCUCACAAGACAGUUAUCUGCUCUUUCAGAACACUUCUGCCCCAACCCUGGCCACCGGGCCUGGGGACUUGGAAGGUUCCUUGUCCAACCACUGUGAAGAAUUUUAAAGUUUGCAUCGAGACAGCCCUGACCUUCACCCAGCAAAACCCACUUGAGAAACUCCACAGCAGUUUAAGGGACCUUGUGCGCCAGCUCACAAAUGGGCUUGUGUCCUUCUGUUUGUCUUUUGGUUAUUGCAGUACAGCUCACAAAAAGAAUGCCAUCAAUGUCUGGUUGGUAUAAUAAAAACAUAAAUACAUUUAUAGCUUUCAGAAUAUAUAUUUAAAAAAAACCUCUCUGGCAAUAUGGCAGGUGCAAUACUGGAUUUCUUCUUAAACUCUAUCCUGCACUCUUAGGGUAAAACACCACACUUUUUUGCAGUUAAUAACAGCUAUAGACUUUCCUUGGGGCCAGUGCUGCUGGCCCAUCCCUUAUUUCUCCCUGAAGCUACUGGCAGCAAUUUCUCAUCCCAACAGUGGUGUAGCUGCAUAUUUGUGUUUCAUAUUAUUUUCAAUGUUUGUUACUUCACAACAGAAGAAGUUUCAAAGACUAUUUUUAAGAGAGCAGCUUGUUAAGUGCUUUUUCCCUCCUCCGUGUGUUACCUGGCUAGAUUAACCAGAAUAUAGUAUUCUAAUGUUCUUUUAUUUCUUUUUUUUUUUUUUCUUGAGGGUGAUAAAGUCCAUUAACAGAUUUUCUGGCUCUUCUUUUUCUAAAAGAAUAAUUAUAUAAUGGUUGCAACUUCUGAGCCUUAAUGAGUGUCCAAUGAUAUGCUGAAAAUUUUAUAUUUAUUGUGGAAUAUAAUCAACACAAGAACUGUAUGAGGCUCAUAGUUCCAUUUUGCAGGCAGGGUUUAGAAAAAUGUAGAAAUCUACUCAGGCCUGUACACCUGCUACUCAUUCUGUAAUGACCAAAUCCCUAAUCCUUACCAUCACCUGAGGUCAGCCAUUGUUUCGGGUUACUAAAGAGUCUAGUUUUCAGCCUGGCUGUUAGCAAGGUGCACUGAGAACCAUACGUCACUAGUAGUCUGCAGGACAC
RNAcentral lists this long non-coding RNA (1149 nucleotides) under Fukomys damarensis (Damara mole-rat). RNAcentral describes it as "lncRNA (ENSFDAG00000028124.1)". Lineage: Eukaryota; Metazoa; Chordata; Mammalia; Rodentia; Bathyergidae. The record is from RNAcentral.